CCUACGGGAGGCUGCAGUGAGGAAUAUUGGUCAAUGGACGCGAGCCUGAACCAGCCAAGUAGCGUGAAGGAUGACUGCCCUACGGGUUGUAAACUGCUUUUAUAAGGGAGUAAAGUGAGGCACGUGUACCUUUUUGUAUGUACUUUAUGAAUAAGGAUCGGCUAACUCCGUGCCAGCAGCCGCGGUAAUACGGAGGAUCCGAGCGUUAUCCGGAUUUAUUGGGUUUAAAGGGUGCGUAGAUGGGCUGUUAAGUUAGUUGUGAAAUUUUGCGGCUCAACCGCAGAAUUGCAAUUGAUACUGGUCGUCUAGAGAACAGUUGCGGUAGGCGGAAUGUGUGGUGUAGCGGUGAAAUGCUUAGAGAUCAUGCAGAACACCGAUUGCGAAGGCAGCUUACUAAACUACCACUGACAUUGAUGCACGAAAGCGUGGGUAUCAAACAGGAUUAGAUACCCGUGUAGUC
Molecule: ribosomal RNA, 460 nt
Filed under: uncultured bacterium
Lineage: Bacteria
Description: partial 16S ribosomal RNA
Rfam family: Bacterial small subunit ribosomal RNA
Source: RNAcentral